RNAcentral lists this ribosomal RNA (2907 nucleotides) under Klebsiella michiganensis. RNAcentral describes it as "23S ribosomal RNA". It matches the Rfam family "Bacterial large subunit ribosomal RNA". Lineage: Bacteria; Pseudomonadati; Pseudomonadota; Gammaproteobacteria; Enterobacterales; Enterobacteriaceae. The record is from RNAcentral.
GGUUAAGCGACUAAGCGUACACGGUGGAUGCCCUGGCAGUCAGAGGCGAUGAAGGACGUGCUAAUCUGCGAAAAGCGUCGGUAAGGUGAUAUGAACCGUUAUAGCCGGCGAUGUCCGAAUGGGGAAACCCAGUGCAAUUCGUUGCACUAUCGUUUGAUGAAUACAUAGUCAAACGAGGCGAACCGGGGGAACUGAAACAUCUAAGUACCCCGAGGAAAAGAAAUCAACCGAGAUUCCCCCAGUAGCGGCGAGCGAACGGGGAGCAGCCCGGAGUCUGAAUCAGCUUGUGUGUUAGUGGAAGCGUCUGGAAAGUCGCAGGGUACAGGGUGAUACUCCCGUACACUAAAAUGCACAGGUUGUGAACUCGAAGAGUAGGGCGGGACACGUGGUAUCCUGUCUGAAUAUGGGGGGACCAUCCUCCAAGGCUAAAUACUCCUGACUGACCGAUAGUGAACCAGUACCGUGAGGGAAAGGCGAAAAGAACCCCGGCGAGGGGAGUGAAAAAGAACCUGAAACCGUGUACGUACAAGCAGUAGGAGCCCACUUGUUGGGUGACUGCGUACCUUUUGUAUAAUGGGUCAGCGACUUAUAUUCUGUAGCAAGGUUAACCGUAUAGGGGAGCCGCAGGGAAACCGAGUCUUAACUGGGCGUUAAGUUGCAGGGUAUAGACCCGAAACCCGGUGAUCUAGCCAUGGGCAGGUUGAAGGUUGGGUAACACUAACUGGAGGACCGAACCGACUAAUGUUGAAAAAUUAGCGGAUGACUUGUGGCUGGGGGUGAAAGGCCAAUCAAACCGGGAGAUAGCUGGUUCUCCCCGAAAGCUAUUUAGGUAGCGCCUCGUGAACUCAUCUUCGGGGGUAGAGCACUGUUUCGGCUAGGGGGUCAUCCCGACUUACCAACCCGAUGCAAACUACGAAUACCGAAGAAUGUUAUCACGGGAGACACACGGCGGGUGCUAACGUCCGUCGUGAAGAGGGAAACAACCCAGACCGCCAGCUAAGGUCCCAAAGUCAUGGUUAAGUGGGAAACGAUGUGGGAAGGCCCAGACAGCCAGGAUGUUGGCUUAGAAGCAGCCAUCAUUUAAAGAAAGCGUAAUAGCUCACUGGUCGAGUCGGCCUGCGCGGAAGAUGUAACGGGGCUAAACCAUGCACCGAAGCUGCGGCAGCGACGCUUAUGCGUUGUUGGGUAGGGGAGCGUUCUGUAAGCCGUUGAAGGUGGCCUGUGAGGGUUGCUGGAGGUAUCAGAAGUGCGAAUGCUGACAUAAGUAACGAUAAUGCGGGUGAAAAACCCGCACGCCGGAAGACCAAGGGUUCCUGUCCAACGUUAAUCGGGGCAGGGUGAGUCGACCCCUAAGGCGAGGCCGAAAGGCGUAGUCGAUGGGAAACAGGUUAAUAUUCCUGUACUCGGUGUUACUGCGAAGGGGGGACGGAGAAGGCUAUGUUGGCCGGGCGACGGUUGUCCCGGUUUAAGCAUGUAGGCGGAUGUUCCAGGUAAAUCCGGAACGUUACUAACGCUGAGGUGUGAUGACGAGGCACUACGGUGCUGAAGUGACAAAUGCCCUGCUUCCAGGAAAAGCCUCUAAGCAUCAGGUAACAUCAAAUCGUACCCCAAACCGACACAGGUGGUCAGGUAGAGAAUACCAAGGCGCUUGAGAGAACUCGGGUGAAGGAACUAGGCAAAAUGGUGCCGUAACUUCGGGAGAAGGCACGCUGAUGGUAAGUGAAGUGACUUGCUCAUGGAGCUGAAAUCAGUCGAAGAUACCAGCUGGCUGCAACUGUUUAUUAAAAACACAGCACUGUGCAAACACGAAAGUGGACGUAUACGGUGUGACGCCUGCCCGGUGCCGGAAGGUUAAUUGAUGGGGUUAUCCGUAAGGAGAAGCUCUUGAUCGAAGCCCCGGUAAACGGCGGCCGUAACUAUAACGGUCCUAAGGUAGCGAAAUUCCUUGUCGGGUAAGUUCCGACCUGCACGAAUGGCGUAAUGAUGGCCAGGCUGUCUCCACCCGAGACUCAGUGAAAUUGAACUCGCUGUGAAGAUGCAGUGUACCCGCGGCAAGACGGAAAGACCCCGUGAACCUUUACUAUAGCUUGACACUGAACACUGGUCCUUGAUGUGUAGGAUAGGUGGGAGGCUUUGAAGUGUGGACGCCAGUCUGCAUGGAGCCAUCCUUGAAAUACCACCCUUUAAUGGCUGGUGUUCUAACGUGGGCCCGUAAUCCGGGUUGCGGACAGUGUCUGGUGGGUAGUUUGACUGGGGCGGUCUCCUCCUAAAGAGUAACGGAGGAGCACGAAGGUCAGCUAAUCCUGGUCGGACAUCAGGAGGUUAGUGCAAUGGCAUAAGCUGGCUUGACUGCGAGCGUGACGGCGCGAGCAGGUGCGAAAGCAGGUCAUAGUGAUCCGGUGGUUCUGAAUGGAAGGGCCAUCGCUCAACGGAUAAAAGGUACUCCGGGGAUAACAGGCUGAUACCGCCCAAGAGUUCAUAUCGACGGCGGUGUUUGGCACCUCGAUGUCGGCUCAUCACAUCCUGGGGCUGAAGUAGGUCCCAAGGGUAUGGCUGUUCGCCAUUUAAAGUGGUACGCGAGCUGGGUUUAGAACGUCGUGAGACAGUUCGGUCCCUAUCUGCCGUGGGCGCUGGAGAAUUGAGGGGGGCUGCUCCUAGUACGAGAGGACCGGAGUGGACGCAUCACUGGUGUUCGGGUUGUCAUGCCAAUGGCAUUGCCCGGUAGCUAAAUGCGGAAGAGAUAAGUGCUGAAAGCAUCUAAGCACGAAACUUGCCCCGAGAUGAGUUCUCCCUGACUCCUUGAGAGUCCUGAAGGAACGUUGAAGACGACGACGUUGAUAGGCCGGGUGUGUAAGCGCAGCGAUGCGUUGAGCUAACCGGUACUAAUGAACCGUGAGGCUUAACCUU